UACGAACCGUACAAACGUUAUUCGGAAUCACUGGGCUUAAAGGGUGCGUAGGCGGCUUGGUAAGUUGAGUGUGAAAUCCCUCGGCUCAACCGAGGAAUGGCGCUCAAAACUAUCCGGCUUGAGGAAGGCAGAGGUAAGCGGAACUAAUGGUGGAGCGGUGAAAUGCGUUGAUAUCAUUAGGAACACCUGAGGCGAAAGCGGCUUACUGGGCCUUUUCUGACGCUGAGGCACGAAAGUUAGGGGAGCCAACGGGAUUAGAUACCCCGGUAGUCCUAGCUGUAAACGAUGAGCACUGGAUUGAGGGGACCUCCACAUCUUCUCGGUCGUAGCGAAAGUGUUAAGUGCUCCGCCUGGGGAGUAUGGUUGCAAGGCUGAA
This 376-nucleotide ribosomal RNA is filed under the name uncultured bacterium. Its description in RNAcentral is "bacterial SSU rRNA". It matches the Rfam family "Bacterial small subunit ribosomal RNA", at positions 524 to 898 of the family's 1533-position model. The record is from RNAcentral.